Molecule: non-coding RNA, 717 nt
Filed under: Pongo abelii (Sumatran orangutan)
Lineage: Eukaryota; Metazoa; Chordata; Mammalia; Primates; Hominidae
Source: RNAcentral
AGGUAUUGGGACUUUGAUGGGAAAAAUGUGAAGCAAAAUGUGGUAAACAGGAAUGAAAAGCCAGAAUGAAUAAAGGAAGCCUUCAUUGUUCUCAGUGAGUUUCCCAGCCUGAGAGAUUCACAGAGACCUGGCAAAUGAUAUUACUGAACCAUGGGCAGUGAAUGCAGAGAACAGAAAAGGGCAUACACCUUUGGAUCUCUGAGCCAUUAUGUAAGAAGUUCAGCUACCCUGAAGCCACCAUGUUGGAUUGGCCACUUAGAGACAGAGAUAUUUGAGGAUCCCCAACUGUUCUGGGCUCCAACUGUUUGAGUCUUUCCAGUCCAGGUCUUCCAAGUUUAUAAGAAGAGUCAGAUUUCCAAGAGCAAUUUAUUCCUUUCUUCAUUCUGUUAGGCAUUAUUUGGAAUGGCUUUUCUUCGAUGAAUUCAAUUAACAGGCUGGAGUGCAGUGGCGUGAUCUCGGCUCACUGCAACCUCCACCUCCCGGGUUCAAGCGAUUCUUCUGCUUCAGCCUUCUCCUGAGCAGCUGGGAUUACAAGUGCACACCAUCACGCCUGGCUAAUUUUUGUAUUUUUAAUAGAGACGGGGUUUCUCCAUGUUGGCCAGGCUUGUCUCGAACUCCUGACCUCAGGUGAUCUGCCCACUUCGGCCUCCCAAAGUGCUGGGAUUACAGGUGUGAGCCACUGCGCCCAGCCUAAAGAGAAUAUUUUCUCAAUUAAAA